Molecule: long non-coding RNA, 225 nt
Filed under: Phoenix dactylifera (date palm)
Lineage: Eukaryota; Viridiplantae; Streptophyta; Magnoliopsida; Arecales; Arecaceae
Description: long non-coding RNA (PDAC_LNC009049)
Source: RNAcentral
AAUUGGGUCUUUUUAAACUUUUAGACUACUUCUAAAACUUUUCAAUUAAUUAUGCUAAGUUAUAUAGAUGCACAGUGAAAUUUAAACUUAGCAACAGUUUGAUGUAUAGAAUGUGACUAGAUUGAAUAUGCUUGCAACUAAAGGAUGCGCGGAUAAAAGUUAAGCAAGCAAUUUAUCUAAGUAAGUAAGUGAGUAAGUUAGACAAUGACAAGAAUCAUUACAAAC